UCUGGUAUCGAUGCGCUUGUGGGAAACACCCGUUCCCAUCCCGAACACGACGGUUAAGACGCAAGCGGCCGAUGGUACUGCACUGGAGACGGUGUGGGAGAGCAGGUGGCCGCCAGA
RNAcentral lists this ribosomal RNA (117 nucleotides) under Clostridium sp. A254.MGS-251. Lineage: Bacteria; Bacillati; Bacillota; Clostridia; Eubacteriales; Clostridiaceae. The record is from RNAcentral.